GUAGGUGGCAAGCGUUGUCCGGAAUUAUUGGGCGUAAAGCGCGCGCAGGCGGUUCUUUAAGUCUGAUGUGAAAGCCCACGGCUCAACCGUGGAGGGUCAUUGGAAACUGGAGAACUUGAGUACAGAAGAGGAAAGCGGAAUUCCACGUGUAGCGGUGAAAUGCGUAGAGAUGUGGAGGAACACCAGUGGCGAAGGCGGCUUUCUGGUCUGUAACUGACGCUGAGGCGCGAAAGCGUGGGGAGCAAACAGGAUUAGAUACCCUGGUAGUCCACGCCGUAAACGAUGAGUGCUAAGUGUUAGGGGGGUUUCCGCCCCCCUUAGUGCUGCAGCUAACGCGUUAAGCACUCCGCCUGGGGAGUACGGCCGCAAGGCUG
RNAcentral lists this ribosomal RNA (374 nucleotides) under uncultured organism. RNAcentral's name for it is "partial 16S ribosomal RNA". It matches the Rfam family "Bacterial small subunit ribosomal RNA", at positions 527 to 896 of the family's 1533-position model. The record is from RNAcentral.